Molecule: ribosomal RNA, 253 nt
Filed under: uncultured bacterium
Lineage: Bacteria
Description: partial 16S ribosomal RNA
Rfam family: Bacterial small subunit ribosomal RNA
Source: RNAcentral
UACGUAGGGUGCAAGCGUUGUCCGGAAUUAUUGGGCGUAAAGAGCUCGUAGGUGGCCUGUCGCGUCGGCUGUGAAAACUCGGGGCUCAACUCCGAGCUUGCAGUCGAUACGGGCAGGCUAGAGUUCGGCAGGGGAGACUGGAAUUCCUGGUGUAGCGGUGAAAUGCGCAGAUAUCAGGAGGAACACCGAUGGCGAAGGCAGUUCUCUGGGCCGUAACUGACGCUGAGGAGCGAAAGCGUGGGGAGCGAACGGG